This 494-nucleotide ribosomal RNA is filed under the name uncultured bacterium. Its description in RNAcentral is "partial 16S ribosomal RNA". It matches the Rfam family "Bacterial small subunit ribosomal RNA", at positions 28 to 507 of the family's 1533-position model. The record is from RNAcentral.
GACGAACGCUGGCGGCGUGCUUAACACAUGCAAGUCGAACGGUAAAGCGCCUUCCUUUUUGGUGGGUGUGGAUGAGUGGCGAACGGGUGAGUAACACGUGAGUAACCUGCCCCCUUCUUCUGGAUAACCGCAUGAAAGUGUGGCUAAUACGGGAUAUUCUGUAUCUGUCGCAUGAUGGGUCUGGGAAAGAUUUCGUUUCGGUGUGGGAUGGGCUCGCGGCCUAUCAGCUGGUUGGUGGGGUGAUGGCCUAGCAAGGCGGUGACGGGUGGCCGGCCGGGGAGGGUGGGCGGCACCGGAGGGGAUGAGACACGGCCACGACUCCGAGGGGAGGCAGUGGGGGGGAAUAUUGCACAGGGGGAGCAAGCAUGAUGCAGCGACGCCGCGGGAGGGAUGGAGGCCUUCGGGUUGUGAACCUCUUUCGCCAGUGAAGCAGGCCUGCCUAGUUUGUGGGUGUGUUGACGGUAGCUGGAGAAGAAGCGCCGGCUAACUACGUG